CCUCUGGCUUUGGAGAAGUUGUAUGAGCAGGGAGCAGACAGCAGCAAAGAAUCCUUUUCAGUUGAGGACAGCAUGAUGGGACUUCAGGAAGAAAGUGGCCCUUGAACCUCUUAAAGGAUGAGCAGGACUCAGAUGCCAAGACCAUCUGGAGCCCAGAAGGACAGGCACAGCAGAAGGAAGGGGAGAUGGCUCAUUUCAGCUGCUUGGACACACCCGCCUUGGAAGGGAGCCUCCCCAGAGCAUGCGGCUGCUACUGUUGCCCUCAGGGUCUCUUCUCCAGGUUGUUCUACACUCAGGUUUCACUCCGGGCACAUUAGACUGGAUCAGAGGCUCUGCUACGACCAGCGUGUGUGUUAGUCACUCAGUCGUGUCCUACUCUUUGUGACCCCAUGGACUGUAGCCCACCAGGCUCAUCUGUUCAUGGAAUUCUCCAGGCCAAGAAUACUGGAGUGGGCUAUCAUUCCCUUCUCCAGGGGAUCUUCCCAACCCAGGGAUCGAACCCAGAUCUCCCACACUGCAGGCAGGUUCUUUACUAUCUGAGCCACCUGGGAAGCCCCUGCUACAACUCACUGAACGGUGACGUGCCAAGAAGUUAAAACCGAAGCAACAUGAUGAUGCUUGAAGAGACUCCAGGGCUGGGGCUUCCACGGUGGCUCAGUGGUAAAGAACCUGCCUGUCAGUGCAGGGGACAUGGGUUCAGUCACUGAUCCAGGAAGAUCCCGAAUGCCGCAGAGCAGCCAGGCCCGCCUGCCGCAGCUACUGAGCCUGCGCGUUGCGACUGCUGAAGCCCACACACCUUAGAGCCUGUGCUCGGAAACAAGAGGAGCCACUGGCAAUGAGAAUCCCGGCACCACAGCUAGAGAGCAGCCCCUCGCUCGCCGCAACUAGAGAAAAACCCGAGCAGCAACUAAGACCCAGCAUAGCCCAAAAUAAAUAAAUACAUAAAAAUCA
RNAcentral lists this long non-coding RNA (951 nucleotides) under Bos indicus x Bos taurus (hybrid cattle). Its description in RNAcentral is "lncRNA (ENSBIXG00000006764.1)". Lineage: Eukaryota; Metazoa; Chordata; Mammalia; Artiodactyla; Bovidae. The record is from RNAcentral.